RNAcentral lists this long non-coding RNA (4412 nucleotides) under Gossypium barbadense (sea-island cotton). RNAcentral's name for it is "long non-coding RNA (GBAR_LNC016958)". Lineage: Eukaryota; Viridiplantae; Streptophyta; Magnoliopsida; Malvales; Malvaceae. The record is from RNAcentral.
GUCAACCAAAUUAAAUCACCAAUUUCAAUAGGACAUCUAGCUUAUUUAAAGAAAACACCAUUUCCAAACAUUUACAUAUAUAAACAUAAUUAUAUCAAAAUAUAUACAUCAUUUACCAAGAUUAUAAGUUAUAUAUCAUACAUGUAAAAUUCACCAAAAUUAUCCAUGGACGAAAAAUUUUAACCAACUAAUACCCCCUAAGUACAUGCCAAAAACACCAAAAGAGGACAUCACCGACGUUGAGUACGGGAUUCUUAUAGGAUGCUGAGUCCGAUUCUACUAUUUAUCUAACCUGUAAACCUGGAAAGCAAUCCACAUUAAGUAGAUUUCACUUAUUUGAAUAGCCACAAGUAUAUCUAAAGCAUUUGAAUUUAUUUCACAACUUUAAUAAUCUAAUUCAAGAAAUAUGUCAUACCUUCCAAUGAAUUAAUAUAUAUACAUAAGUAAAUAUAAUUCUUCCUUAGUAAUACCUAUAACCAACCGUCUUCGAUGGUUCAUAUAACCUUGAUGUAUAGUCCAAUCGAUACAUGGCACCCGGUGCCUAGCGGGUAAACCACGGAAGAGUUUGCGCCCAACGCUUGUCGGAUAAACCGAAAAAUGUGUGCCCAGCACUAGUCAAAUAAACUGAUGGAAGUUGCGCCCAGCGCUAGUCGGAUAAACCGAAAAAUGUGUGCCCGGCACUAGUCAGAUAAAUCGACAAAUGUGUGCCCAGCACUAGUCAGAUAAACUGACAGAAGUUGCGCCCAGCGCUAGUUGGAUAAACCGACGAAUAAAUAGUGAGCCCAACUCUAGUUGACAUACCAACGAUAUUUGCGCCUAACACUAGUCGGAUAAACCGACGAAUAAAUACUUAUUUAUUUUCACAAUUUCCUCAUUCAUUAAUUAACAUCAUCAUUCAAAUAUGAACAUAAGAUUGUAUAUCAAGUAUUUAAAUAACAUCUAAUUAUUAAUUAAAUAAAUGAUUAAUAAAAAGGUUAAGUUCGAGACUUCAAACUUACCAAAAUACGACAGGUGCUACGAAUUGCAGACGUCUACUCAGUGAUCUUUUCCUUCCCACGAUUGAUACCCGAUCUAUUCUUCUCUUUAUCAAAUUAACAAAUUAAUUUCAUUACUUAAUUUGAAUAGCAUACUUGCUUUUAAUUAAAUCAAUUAACCUUAGAUCAUAAUUUAUACUUUUACCCUCAACAAUUGACAUUUACUCAACUUAAACAUUAACAUCAAAAUUAGCUUGAUUGCAUCUUCAUCUAAUUUCCAUAACUAACCACAUAUACAUAUAAUUUAUUAACAAUCCCUAAAUUCUUGAAUUUCAUAACUUAACACCAUACUAGUUUAAUUUAUAGCAUUCAACUCCUUGAAAGCUAAUACUAAUAAAACUCAUAAUACAAAAUAUUUUACUUGCUCCCUAAACUUAGUAAUUCAACUCAAAUUUCCAGCACAAAAGAACAAUCCACCAAAACAGUCCCUAGACUUCACAAAAAUUAACAAUUUAACCCCUAAUUCUAUCAAAACAACUUCAAACAUUAGAGUUUUUCAACAAUGGCAGCUUCCACAAAUAUCAUAAUUUUUCUAAAUUUCCACAUGGGUAAUCUACUACAUGAUUUUAAGGUUCCAAAAAUAUAAAGUUUAAUUGAAAAUAAUCAAAUCAUACCAAUAAAGUUAUGCUUCAAAAAUGAAACUUAAAAGCCGAAUGGUGCUAACCUUUUUCUUCUCCAAAUCCGCAUGCAAAAGAGAUGAAGCUUUAAUUUUGUUUCUCUUUCCAUUUUCUUUCCCCACUACUCUAUUUGUUUCUUUUAUUUUAUUCAUAUUUUCAUUUCAUUUUUAUUAUAACUUAACAUAAUUACUAAUUUAAGCAUUAUCAUACAAUUAACAUAUAUUACAUAUAUAUAAUUCCCUCAUAAUUAUCCAUUAACCAAAACUCAUUAAAUUAAUGGACUAUUUAUUUAAAUAGUCCCUUAUUCUAAUCCCACUUUGAAAUUUAAUACUAAUUACUAAUUUAUCACCCACUUAUUUUAAUUUAAUAAUUCAACCCCCAAGAAUAUUUAUACUCAAACUUUUAACCCUUUAAACAAACUUCACAUCUUUGCAGUCAAUAUGUAUAUACCAUUAAAUCCUUAAUCCAAAACCUCCAAAUUUUAGUUUUCCCCCAUCAAUUCCCAUCAAACCAAUUUAUAUUAUUUUCCAGCAUUCCCUUAAUCACUAUAAAUCAUGAUUUAAACCAUGUUAUUUUGAAUUUACAAUAUUUAAGUCCCUAGAGAUUAAUAUCAACAAAAAUCAUCACUCAAUUUGACCAAAUUAGCCCAUAAGACCUAUAAUUUACUCAUCACCUCAAAGACAUUUAACAUUCUAUAUAAAAAAAAACAGUACCUACACUCUUCAUGAUUUAUCAAAUCAGUCCCUACUUAAGCUUGGUCUAGCUUCAACAAUUUUAAAAGUGCAAAAUUUACUAAAGUGGUAGCUCAAACACGUACAUAUAUAUAAAUAUAAUUUCAUAAUCACUCACAAAUUUAACAUCCAACCAAAUAACACCAAGCAUCAAUAGUAACUUCUACAAAUAUCAUUAAUUCUCACAAUUUCAGCAUGGGCAAAUUAACUCAUAACAUUAAGACUUCAAAAACAUAAAUUUCAUCUAAAAAUAACCAAAAUUCACUAACCAAAUUAAACAUGCAACAAGAGCUCUUGGCCGUGCAACUUCUCCCCUCUUUCCUUUUUGUUUCGGAAAGAAGAAAAUUAAAGAAAAUUUUUGCUUGGAAUUCCUCUCCCCACUAACCAUUAUCUCCCAUCUAUUAAUAAUAUAUAUAUAUCCUUUUAUAUAACAAAUUUUAACUUAAUUAUUAUACUAACUUAACACAUAUAAUACUUAUAAUAUUUACUAAAACCGUCCACCAUCACACACUUAUAUAAAUAAUGGCUUAUUUAUUUAAUAAGCCCCUUAAUAUAGAUUCACCUUAUAAUUUAGUAUUAAUUCUUACUUUUAUCACUUAUUUAAUUUAGUCCCUUUACUUUAAUUAAACACUCUUUCGUCAAAAUUACAUAACCAAAAAUUUAAUUCACUUCUAAUAUAACUCUGUAAAUAUUUAAUAAAAAUAUUUACGAGUCUAGUUUAGGGAAACGAGGUCCCGACACCUUAAUUUCCAAAACCAUUGACUUUAGAACUGAUACACUUGUACAUUGUCUAACUUUCUAAUAAUUAAAAUUAUUAGAUCAACCUCAAUAUAAUACUGUUAUACCUUCGUAAUUAUGAAUAAAUAAUAUUCACUAAAUCUAUCUUCGGAAAACAACAUUCUAAAACCACUGCUUUCGACUUUAUUAACUUUUGAGUCAUUACACCUAAAGUUGAUUUGUAGUUAGUAACUCAGUUCAAAUGUAAUAGCAUCCUAACAACCAUCAUGCAAUGAAACCAUUAAUCCCGAAUCUUCAUAACUCAGUUAUAAUCUAAGUAGCAUCACGCAAUGAACCAUUAAUCACAAAUCUUCAAAACUCAAUUUAAAUGCAGUAGCAUCCUAAGUACCAUCACCACCAUUAAUCCCAAAUCUUCAUAAUUCAGUUCAAAUACAAUAGCAUCUUAAAAUCCAUCACGCAAUGAAUUAUUUCCACUUUUCUUUUAACCCCAAAAAAAUGCAUAAAUAUGAACCAAUGAAAAAGUCAACACAGCAACACCAUCAAUCUUUCAUCUUUAAGAGAAAAAAUAAUUAUCAAAAACACCUUACAUGAAAAGGAGAACACCCAAAAAUCAACAGCUUAUAGCACUUAAAAAGCUAAAAUAAAAAACUUGUUUCAUUUGAGGAAAAUCUUGAUCCCAAAAUAGGCAAAUAAACUCGUGAUUCGACAUACUAAUUUGCAUAAGUAAAAAAAAAAACCAUCAGUUUUAGGGUUACCUAUGUUGCACAAGCUUCUUUGAAAAUUACUUGCUUUCAGUUCAAGAAGUCUGAAUCAGUACUGAGAGAUUGAUUAGCAAUUCUAUGAUCUAGUGUUCUUCAAUUGAGCCUGGAUUUUUUUCCUUGCUGAAGACUUUGCCUCUAAUUAAGAAUUUUUAUGAUCUCGAUUCCUAUGAGGAAAGGAUUGAAGAAGUUGGUGAGGAGCAAUGGUGUUUUAGGGCUUGGGAAAUGGAGAAGGGAAUGAAUGGGAAGGCUAUAGUUGAAAGUGCAGAAAGAACAAUGAUAAAAAAUGAGGGUAAAAAUGAAAAAAAAUAAUCUUUUAGCAUUCCUAUCGUGUUUUGAAUGGGCAAUUCAGAGGUUGGGACAAAAAGUGAUUAGUGGGAAUAGAAAACUAAACAUCUGAACCAAACAAUAGUUUAAAUUUACGUUUAUAUAUAUUAUAGGUUAAAUACAUUUUCUUAUAGAUAUUUUCUACUGUCACAUUAUACUUGAUUACUAGAUUUUACCAAUUAUUAAGUGAGUGAAGAAAAACAGUAA